GGUCUUUGUAUUGCCUAUUUGCUUUUGGAAACUAGUGAAUAUGAUGUCAGAAUAGGCAUAAAUAAAUAAAUAUCUUACAGAC
Molecule: small nucleolar RNA, 82 nt
Filed under: Fukomys damarensis (Damara mole-rat)
Lineage: Eukaryota; Metazoa; Chordata; Mammalia; Rodentia; Bathyergidae
Description: Small nucleolar RNA SNORA13 (ENSFDAG00000004460.1)
Source: RNAcentral